This 254-nucleotide ribosomal RNA is filed under the name uncultured bacterium. Its description in RNAcentral is "partial 16S ribosomal RNA". It matches the Rfam family "Bacterial small subunit ribosomal RNA", at positions 99 to 354 of the family's 1533-position model. The record is from RNAcentral.
CGAACGGGUGAGUAAUACAUCGGAACGUGUCCGCUCGUGGGGGACAACCAGCCGAAAGGUUGGCUAAUACCGCAUGAGUUCUACGGAAGAAAGAGGGGGACCCGCAAGGGCCUCUCGCGAGCGGAGCGGCCGAUGACUGGUUAGCCGGUUGGUGAGGUGACGGCUCACCAAAGCAACGAUCAGUAGCUGGUCUGAGAGGACGACCAGCCACACUGGGACUGAGACACGGCCCAGACUCCUACGGAAGGCAGCAG